This 477-nucleotide ribosomal RNA is filed under the name Meloidogyne incognita (southern root-knot nematode). Its description in RNAcentral is "partial 16S ribosomal RNA". Lineage: Eukaryota; Metazoa; Nematoda; Chromadorea; Rhabditida; Meloidogynidae. The record is from RNAcentral.
AUUUUUUGAUUUUAGUUUAUUUACGUAUUUAGUUGAUUUUUUAAUAGAUUUAGUUCAUCUGUUGAUGUAACAUAGAGUGGCUCUUUAGUUAAUUUACCUGAAGUUAAAAAUGGUCAAUUAUAUGAUAUAACUUUUGGUUAUCAUCAAGAAUAUUUUAAGGAAAUUAUGGUGCUCAUCCUGAUAAAGAUCGUAAUUUUUAUAGUUGUGAUAUUGUUAUACGUCAAUCACAAGCUUUAGAAGAAUAUCAUAAUGAAUUAAAUCAAUCUGUUAGUGAAAAAAUAGUUAUUUUUAUUAAUAGAGAUAUAAGGAGAUUUAAUUUUUAAGUUAAAUCCAAUUCGUAAUGUUUGGAAUUUACCAAGGUAGAAUUACACGUUAAAUUUAGAAGAAUUGUUGAAAAGAAUGAAUUCUUAAUGGAAACAGUAAGGAUAUUUUUUAUAUAAUUAUUUUUAAUAAUAUUAAAAAUAAAGCUAUUAAUUU